GGAGGGGUACCAAAGCGGUCAAAUGGGGCGGGCUGUAAACCCGUUGACUYCGGUCUUCGAAGGUUCGAAUCCUUCYCCCUCCACCA
RNAcentral lists this transfer RNA (86 nucleotides) under Candidatus Pelagibacter sp. RNAcentral's name for it is "tRNA-Tyr". It matches the Rfam family "tRNA". Rfam says of the family: Transfer RNA (tRNA) molecules are approximately 80 nucleotides in length. Their secondary structure includes four short double-helical elements and three loops (D, anti-codon, and T loops). Further hydrogen bonds mediate the characteristic L-shaped molecular structure. tRNAs have two regions of fundamental functional importance: the anti-codon, which is responsible for specific mRNA codon recognition, and the 3' end, to which the tRNAs corresponding amino acid is attached (by aminoacyl-tRNA synthetases). tRNAs cope with the degeneracy of the genetic code in two manners: having more than one tRNA (with a specific anti-codon) for a particular amino acid; and 'wobble' base-pairing, i.e. permitting non-standard base-pairing at the 3rd anti-codon position. Lineage: Bacteria; Pseudomonadati; Pseudomonadota; Alphaproteobacteria; Candidatus Pelagibacterales; Candidatus Pelagibacteraceae. The record is from RNAcentral.